Molecule: ribosomal RNA, 252 nt
Filed under: uncultured bacterium
Lineage: Bacteria
Description: partial 16S ribosomal RNA
Rfam family: Bacterial small subunit ribosomal RNA
Source: RNAcentral
UACGGAGGAUGCGAGCGUUAUCCGGAUUUAUUGGGUUUAAAGGGUGCGUAGGCGGAUCGUUAAGUCAGUGGUCAAAUUGAGGGGCUCAACCCCUUCCCGCCAUUGAAACUGGCGAUCUUGAGUGGAAGAGAAGUAUGCGGAAUGCGUGGUGUAGCGGCGAAAUGCAUAGAUAUCACGCAGAACCCCGAUUGCGAAGGCAGCAUGCCGGCUUCCUACUGACGCUGAAGCACGAAAGCGUGGGGAUCGAACAGG